Molecule: ribosomal RNA, 484 nt
Filed under: uncultured bacterium
Lineage: Bacteria
Description: partial 16S ribosomal RNA
Rfam family: Bacterial small subunit ribosomal RNA
Source: RNAcentral
AUUGAACGCUGGCGGCAUGCCUUACACAUGCCAGUCGAACGGCAGCGCGGGAGCAAUCCUGGCGGCGAGUGGCGAACGGGUGAGUAAUACAUCGGAACGUGCCCAAUCGUGGGGGAUAACGCAGCGAAAGCUGUGCUAAUACCGCAUACGAUCUACGGAUGAAAGCAGGGGAUCGCAAGACCUUGCGCGAAUGGAGCGGCCGAUGGCAGAUUAGGUAGUUGGUGAGGUAAAGGCUCACCAAGCCUUCGAUCUGUAGCUGGUCUGAGAGGACGACCAGCCACACUGGAACUGAGACACGGCCCAGACUCCUACGGGAGGCAGCAGUGGGGAAUUUUGGACAAUGGGCGAAAGCCUGAUCCAGCCAUGCCGCGUGCAUGAUGAAGGCCUUCGGGUUGUAAACUGCUUUUGUACGGAACGAAACGGUCUUUUCUAAUAAAGAAGGCUAAUGACGGUACCGUAAGAAUAAGCACCGGCUAACUACGUG